AGUCGAGGGGCAGCAUUCCAGUUUGCUUGCAAACUGGAGAUGGCGACCGGCGCACGGGUGAGUAACACGUAUCCAACCUGCCGAUAACUCGGGGAUAGCCUUUCGAAAGAAAGAUUAAUACCCGAUGGCAUAAUAGAACCGCAUGGUUUGAUUAUUAAAGAAUUUCGGUUAUCGAUGGGGAUGCGUUCCAUUAGGCAGUUGGUGGGGUAACGGCCCACCAAACCUUCGAUGGAUAGGGGUUCUGAGAGGAAGGUCCCCCACAUUGGAACUGAGACACGGUCCAAACUCCUACGGGAGGCAGCAGUGAGGAAUAUUGGUCAAUGGACGAGAGUCUGAACCAGCCAAGUAGCGUGAAGGAUGACUGCCCUAUGGGUUGUAAACUUCUUUUAUAUGGGGAUAAAGUGGUCCACGUGUGGAUUUUUGUAUGUACCAUAUGAAUAAGGAUCGGCUAACUCCGUGCCAGCAGCCGCGGUAAUACGGAGGAUCCGAGCGUUAUCCGGAUUUAUUGGGUUUAAAGGGAGCGUAGGUGGACAGUUAAGUCAGUUGUGAAAGUUUGCGGCUCAACCGUAAAAUUGCAGUUGAUACUGGCUGUCUUGAGUACAGUAGAGGUGGGCGGAAUUCGUGGUGUAGCGGUGAAAUGCUUAGAUAUCACGAAGAACUCCGAUUGCGAAGGCAGCUCACUGGACUGCAACUGACACUGAUGCUCGAAAGUGUGGGUAUCAAACAGGAUUAGAUACCCUGGUAGUCCACACAGUAAACGAUGAAUACUCGCUGUUUGCGAUAUACAGUAA
This 791-nucleotide ribosomal RNA is filed under the name uncultured bacterium. RNAcentral's name for it is "bacterial SSU rRNA". It matches the Rfam family "Bacterial small subunit ribosomal RNA", at positions 60 to 842 of the family's 1533-position model. The record is from RNAcentral.